GAUGAACGCUGGCGGCAGGCCUAAUACAUGCGAGUCGAGCGAACAAAGAAGGAUCGUGCUUCGCUUACGUGAGCGGCGGGCGGGUGAUUAAUACGUAGAUAACCGGCCGAGGAGGCUAAGAUAACUUCAGGAACCCUGAUCCAGUACCGGAUCAUAGGUUGAACCUCAGGGUUCAAUAGUGAUAAACGUAUUUGCUGUGCCUUAGACGGAGAUCCUCGUCGCAUUAGCUAGUUGGUAAGGUAACGGCGUACCAAGGCGACGAUGCGUAGCGGACCUGAGAGGGUGAUCGGCCACACUGGAACUGAGACACGGUCCAGACUCCUACGGGAGGCAGCAGUAGGGAAUAUUCCGCAAUGGGCGAAAGCCUGAUGGAGCCACGCCGCGUGAGUGAUGAAGGUCUUCGGAUUGUAAAACACUGUUAUUAGGGAAGAACAACUGUGAAAGUAAAUCUUCAUGUCUUGACGUUACCUACUCAGAAAGCAACGGCUAACUACGUG
This 497-nucleotide ribosomal RNA is filed under the name uncultured bacterium. Its description in RNAcentral is "partial 16S ribosomal RNA". It matches the Rfam family "Bacterial small subunit ribosomal RNA", at positions 28 to 507 of the family's 1533-position model. The record is from RNAcentral.